This 1868-nucleotide ribosomal RNA is filed under the name human gut metagenome. RNAcentral describes it as "bacterial LSU rRNA". It matches the Rfam family "Bacterial large subunit ribosomal RNA", at positions 466 to 2351 of the family's 2925-position model. The record is from RNAcentral.
CUAAAUACUCUCUAGUGACCGAUAGUGAACCAGUACCGUGAGGGAAAGGUGAAAAGCACCCCGGGAGGGGAGUGAAAUAGAACCUGAAACCGUGUGCCUACAACAAGUUCGAGCCCGUUAAUGGGUGAGAGCGUGCCUUUUGUAGAAUGAACCGGCGAGUUACGAUAUGAUGCGAGGUUAAGUUGAAGAGACGGAGCCGCAGGGAAACCGAGUCUUAAUAGGGCGCCAUAGUAUCAUGUCGUAGACCCGAAACCAUGUGACCUACCCAUGAGCAGGUUGAAGGUGAGGUAAAACUCACUGGAGGACCGAACCAGGGCACGUUGAAAAGUGCUUGGAUGACUUGUGGGUAGCGGAGAAAUUCCAAACGAACUUGGAGAUAGCUGGUUCUCUCCGAAAUAGCUUUAGGGCUAGCGUCGAUGUUAAGUCUCUUGGAGGUAGAGCACUGUUUGGGUGAGGGGUCCAUCCCGGAUUACCAAUCUCAGAUAAACUCCGAAUGCCAAUGAGAUAUAAUCGGCAGUCAGACUGCGAGUGCUAAGAUCCGUAGUCGAAAGGGAAACAGCCCAGACCACCAGCUAAGGUCCCAAAAUAUAUGUUAAGUGGAAAAGGAUGUGGGGUUGCACAGACAACUAGGAUGUUAGCUUAGAAGCAGCUAUUCAUUCAAAGAGUGCGUAAUAGCUCACUAGUCGAGUGACCCUGCGCCGAAAAUGUACCGGGGCUAAAACAUAUUACCGAAGCUGUGGAUACCUUUAUAGGUAUGGUAGGAGAGCGUUCUAUGUGCGAAGAAGGUGUACCGUGAGGAGUGCUGGAGCGCAUAGAAGUGAGAAUGCCGGUAUGAGUAGCGAAAGACAGGUGAGAAUCCUGUCCACCGUAAGACUAAGGUUUCCAGGGGAAGGCUCGUCCGCCCUGGGUUAGUCGGGACCUAAGGAGAGACCGAAAGGUGUAUCCGAUGGCCAACAGGUUGAUAUUCCUGUACUAGAGUAUAUAGUGAUGGAGGGACGCAGUAGGCUAACUAAACCAGACGAAUGGAAGAGUCUGGCCAAGCAGUGAGGUGUGAUAUGAGUCAAAUGCUUAUAUCUCUAACAUUGAGCUGUGAUGGGGAGCGAAGUUUAGUAGCGAAGUUAGUGAUGUCACACUGCCAAGAAAAGCUUCUAGCGUUAAUUAUACUCUACCCGUACCGCAAACCGACACAGGUAGUCGAGGCGAGUAGCCUCAGGUGAGCGAGAGAACUCUCGUUAAGGAACUCGGCAAAAUGACCCCGUAACUUCGGGAGAAGGGGUGCUGACUUUAAGUCAGCCGCAGUGAAUAGGCCCAAGCAACUGUUUAUCAAAAACACAGCUCUCUGCUAAAUCGUAAGAUGAUGUAUAGGGGGUGACGCCUGCCCGGUGCUGGAAGGUUAAGAGGAGUGCUUAGCGUAAGCGAAGGUAUGAAUUGAAGCCCCAGUAAACGGCGGCCGUAACUAUAACGGUCCUAAGGUAGCGAAAUUCCUUGUCGGGUAAGUUCCGACCCGCACGAAAGGCGUAAUGAUUUGGGCACUGUCUCAACGAGAGACUCGGUGAAAUUUUAGUACCUGUGAAGAUGCAGGUUACCCGCGACAGGACGGAAAGACCCCAUGGAGCUUUACUGCAGUUUGAUAUUGAGUAUCUGUACCACAUGUACAGGAUAGGUAGGAGCCUAGGACCUCGGGACGCCAGUUUCGAGUGAGGCGUUGUUGGGAUACUACCCUUGUGUUAUGGCUACUCUAACCCAGAUAGGUUAUCCCUAUCGGAGACAGUGUCUGACGGGCAGUUUGACUGGGGCGGUCGCCUCCUAAAAGGUAACGGAGGCGCCCAAAGGUUCCCUCAGAAUGGUUGGAAAUCAUUCGCAGAGUG